AUGUGCCUCCUGCACCCCUGGGUGGCUCUUGCACCUCUGGGGUGACUCCUGCACCUCUGGGGUGGCUCCUGCACCCCUGAGGUGGCUCCUCCAUCUCUGAUGUGGCUCCUGCACCCCCGAGGUGGUUCCUGCACCCCUGAGGUGGUUCCUGAACCCCCGAGGUGGCUCCUGCACCCCCGAGGUGGCUCCUGCACCCCUGGGUGACUCCUGCACCCCCGGGGUGGCUCCUGCACCCCCGAGGUGGCUCCUGCACCCCUGAGGUGGCUCCUGCACCCCUGGGUGCCUCCUGCACCCCUGGGGAUCCCCCCACCCUAAAUCCCUUCCCUGUGGCCCCUCGAGGAGGGGGGAGCAGCUCAUGUCCCCCAUCCCAGACCCCCCAGCUGGGUGCUGGCACCUCUCCUGUGGGGUCUGACCCCCCAUUUUCCCCCACCCCACCCCACGAACACUACAGCUCCCCCCACCUCCUGUGCCUUCCCCACGGCAUUCCAACAUUCCCGGUGCCCCGGGAGCCUUUUAACGUUCCCCUCUCCGAAAAGGAGGGGUUGUACCUGGAAAAAUAAACUUUGUCCGGAACUUUGGGAA
This is a non-coding RNA of Taeniopygia guttata (zebra finch), 582 nucleotides long. The record is from RefSeq and is a predicted model, not a curated record. Lineage: Eukaryota; Metazoa; Chordata; Aves; Passeriformes; Estrildidae.